CCUACGGGCGGCAGCAGUGAGGAAUAUUGGUCAAUGGCCGGAAGGCUGAACCAGCCAAGCCGCGUGAAGGACGAAGGUGCCAAGCAUUGUAAACUUCUUUUGUCAAGGGACAAAAUCAGGCUCGAGAGCCUGACCGAGGGUACUUGAAGAAAAAGCAUCGGCUAACUCCGUGCCAGCAGCCGCGGUAAUACGGAGGAUGCGAGCGUUAUCCGGAUUUAUUGGGUUUAAAGGGUGCGCAGGCGGAGGCACAAGUCAGCGGUAAAAUCGCGGGGCUCAACCCCGCUGCGCCGUUGAAACUGUGGCCCUUGAGUGCGCGAAGGGUAGGCGGAAUGCGGGUGGUAGCGGGGAAAUGCAUAGAUAUCACGAAGAACUCCGAUCGCGAAGGCAGCCUACCGGCGCGCAAAUGACGAUCAUGCACGAAAGCGUGGGUAUAGAACAGGAUUAGAGACCCGGGGAGUC
Molecule: ribosomal RNA, 459 nt
Filed under: uncultured bacterium
Lineage: Bacteria
Description: partial 16S ribosomal RNA
Rfam family: Bacterial small subunit ribosomal RNA
Source: RNAcentral